GGAUUUGGAGAGCAGAAGGGAAGCAGCAGCCACUUUGUAGCUCACCUGUUGACUCACUUGGUGUGAGCCAGCAGCUGAGUGAAAUGGUUCUAUCUUCCCCUAGAUCCUCUUUAGCUUCUCCAACUCCUGGGCCAGCUGGGUAUAUGCUUUGCUUUGCAGCAAAGGGUUUCAGCUUCCGCAGGAUUCCUGCAUCACCAAGUGGGACGCUGCGAGACCUUACACAAGUUUCAGUUCAUCCUCGUGAGCUCCAGCUUAUACUUAAGGGUUCCUGCUUGCUCUUACUCUACCCACUUUGUAUUAGUUUUCCCUUCUAUAUUCUUGUGCUGUGGACUUCAAGCUCCGGUAUCAGGUCUGAAGACAGCAACCUUAAAAAUGUUGGUUAAUGAGCUCCCACAACCGAGUUGCUGAACCCUCGUUUCCUUAGAGCAUUGACUUGAGAAAACUUGCGAUUAUAAAUUCCUUCUGUAUCCCUUUGAGAUAUGUAAUGAGAAGAUGGCCAUCUGCAAACCAGGAAUAGGGCCCUCACUGGACACUGGAUCUGCUGGUGAUUUGAUGUUGGACUUCCCAGUCUCCAGAACUAUAAGCAAUAAAUUUCUGUUGUUUAAACUACCCAAUCUAUAGUAUGUUUGUUAUAGCGAACCAAACUGACUAAGACAAACAAGUUGAAGAUUUCCGGUUACCUAGAACACAGCUCAUGAGACAUUCUUCCACUAAUCUAUGUGUUUUUAUAAUUAGUUAUGUUAACUAAUAUAAUUUUUUUUCAUUUUUCUGGGUUUUUUUGAGGAAGAUUAGCCCUGAGUGAACAUCUGCCACCAAUCCUCCUCUUUUUUGCUGAGGAAGACUGGCCCUGAGCUAACAUCCAUGCCCAUCUUCCUCUACUUUAUAUGUGGGAUGGCUGGCACAGCAUUGCUUAACAAGCAGUGCAUAGGAGGCUGGCUCCAAUAUAAUUCUCUUGUUUUCCUACUUAUUCUAUUGUAUUUGUUAAAGGGUUUUCUAGAAAAUAAAAUCUAUAAGGAAGAAAAUAAAAAUAAUUUAUAAUCAAACGUUGUUAACAUUUUUUGGAGUGUUUUCCAGUAGUAUUUUAUAUUUAUACAUUUUAAUAUGCCUGAAAUAUAUAUAGUGUGUAUAUAUGUUUUCUUGUUAGACUUUUAAAUGCAGUGUUAUAUAUGUUUUAAUGCCUGCAAUUAACUUUAGAAUUCUUCAGUAUCAACAACAUAUUAUACUGUCUUAGCUAUGCUCUGGAGGCUGUUCCUAAGUCAGUAAUUCUCACUCCAGGAGUAGUCAACGAGCAUUUAUCAGAAAUAACACACUACAGAGGCUGCUACAAUGAGUAAUCUAGCCAUCUCUCCCUCCCGUCUGCACCAGCUGCCUCGUAUAAUGUAUGUUAGAACUGAAUUUUUGUUGGUGAAAUUAGUUAAUUAGCAAAAUAAAUGUUAGAAAUAGUACUGAAGAUACAGAGAUUAUCUAGAAUAU
Molecule: long non-coding RNA, 1473 nt
Filed under: Equus caballus (horse)
Lineage: Eukaryota; Metazoa; Chordata; Mammalia; Perissodactyla; Equidae
Description: lncRNA (ENSECAG00000054731.1)
Source: RNAcentral